UUUUUUCAUUUAAAACGAAACCUAUCCGAACCGUCGCCAUACGGAGACGGUCAUUUCGGUACCCGAAUUGCAAUUAUUCAACUGACGCUAAUUAUUACCGUAAUACUGGUAGCGAUCCGAUUUCAACGAUAUCUGCAGGACAGAUUGAAUUAUAAAUUACUUACGUGUAUACACAUUAUAAAUUGAAAAUGUAUCGAUUGUUUAUUGUGUACAAUACGACGCAAUACUUCCACAUUCAAUAUCACCUUUUUGCGUGAAUGCGUCAUCGCCCUCGAAGGAUGCGACCGCACGUGCU
This is a non-coding RNA of Cinara cedri, 295 nucleotides long. NCBI's taxonomy places the organism in Eukaryota, Metazoa, Arthropoda, Insecta, Hemiptera, Aphididae. The record is from the annotation of a GenBank genome assembly.